UAGGUUGGUACAAAAGUAAUUGCGGUUUUUGCCAUUGAAAGUAAAGCAAACUUUCAAUGGCAAAAACCGCAAUUACUUUUGCACCAACCCAAUAC
This 95-nucleotide microRNA precursor is filed under the name Cebus imitator (Panamanian white-faced capuchin). RNAcentral describes it as "miRNA (ENSCCAG00000007685.1)". Lineage: Eukaryota; Metazoa; Chordata; Mammalia; Primates; Cebidae. The record is from RNAcentral.